AAGUCGUAACAAGGUUUCCGUAGGUGAACCUGCGGAAGGAUCAUUCACAAUAAGAGUGUUUAUGGCACUCUUCAAAAAAUCCAUACCCACCUUGUGUGCAACGUAAGAAGAAAAAGAGAAAGACGCGAGUCAUGAGGGCAACCUCAAGUCUUGCUCCCCUCUCUCUUUUUCUUUUCCACAUACACCUUUCUAUUAGUUCCUAUUGUCUGAAGCUGUUAGAGAAUGACUAAUUCUUAAACAUAACUUUCAACAACGGAUCUCUUGGCUCUC
This 270-nucleotide unclassified non-coding RNA is filed under the name Actinomortierella ambigua. RNAcentral's name for it is "Mortierella ambigua partial internal transcribed spacer region". The stretch from base 1 to 46 matches the Rfam family "Eukaryotic small subunit ribosomal RNA", at positions 1786 to 1831 of the family's 1831-position model. Lineage: Eukaryota; Fungi; Mortierellomycota; Mortierellomycetes; Mortierellales; Mortierellaceae. The record is from RNAcentral. RNAcentral also lists the same sequence under 1 other name.